Molecule: ribosomal RNA, 465 nt
Filed under: Vreelandella stevensii
Lineage: Bacteria; Pseudomonadati; Pseudomonadota; Gammaproteobacteria; Oceanospirillales; Halomonadaceae
Description: partial 16S ribosomal RNA
Rfam family: Bacterial small subunit ribosomal RNA
Source: RNAcentral
CCUACGGGUGGCUGCAGUGGGGAAUAUUGGACAAUGGGCGAAAGCCUGAUCCAGCCAUGCCGCGUGUGUGAAGAAGGCCUUCGGGUUGUAAAGCACUUUCAGUGGGGAAGAAAGCCUUGGGGCUAAUACCCUCGAGGAAGGACAUCACCCACAGAAGAAGCACCGGCUAACUCCGUGCCAGCAGCCGCGGUAAUACGGAGGGUGCGAGCGUUAAUCGGAAUUACUGGGCGUAAAGCGCGCGUAGGCGGUCUGAUAAGCCGGUUGUGAAAGCCCCGGGCUCAACCUGGGAACGGCAUCCGGAACUGACAGGCUAGAGUGCAGGAGAGGAAGGUAGAAUUCCCGGUGUAGCGGUGAAAUGCGUAGAGAUCGGGAGGAAUACCAGUGGCGAAGGCGGUCUUCUGGACUGACACUGACGCUGAGGUGCGAAAGCGUGGGUAGCAAACAGGAUUAGAUACCCCAGUAGUC